Molecule: non-coding RNA, 75 nt
Filed under: Phaeocystis antarctica
Lineage: Eukaryota; Haptophyta; Phaeocystales; Phaeocystaceae
Source: RNAcentral
CGAGGGAGGCUAUCCUGAGGGCGCGGCGACGCCGGCUUGGGCGUGGCGGUGGGAUGGCAACGCUCAGGCCGGGUU